This 2151-nucleotide long non-coding RNA is filed under the name Nicotiana tabacum (common tobacco). RNAcentral describes it as "long non-coding RNA (NTAB_LNC003222)". The record is from RNAcentral. Lineage: Eukaryota; Viridiplantae; Streptophyta; Magnoliopsida; Solanales; Solanaceae.
UGGCCGGACUUGCAUGCUUCGACGACUCUUUGAGCUUUGUUCCCCCUUUUUUCCGUUCUGGUGUUACUCGCUGUGGUAGUGAUGCUGGAUUUGCACACAUCUAGACGGACAGAGAUAGACACGAGCAAAGAAAGUUCUGGAGAGUGAUAUAAAGGAAGACAAAAAUGUCAUCUUCAUAGCUUUCUUUUUCCAUUAAAGUUGCCAUGUGACACCACUGUCCGUCUCCAUUAUACUAUCAACAACAAUCAUUUUACCAUGAAAACUAACCAACAACUCCCCUACUCACAUAACUUUCUUUUUCAUUUGUCGCAAACUACUUGAAAAAGUAACAUGAACACACAGAUCCACCAUCUUAUCGUCCCUAUUUCCAUUGUCUUAAGCUCAGACACACUCAUAGACUAGAAAAUUGGUCCAAGUUGCUGGAUUUACUUUGAAAGUUCGAGCCCUGCCGAAAUAAGCAUUCGUCGAGGUUGUUGGGUUCGUUGAGGGGACAUUUGAGGUCGUUGGUCAAGCUCCGGUCCGAAGGCUGACUCAAAACCCGUUUGGGAUUUAAGGUCCAAAUUCUUUCACUAUUUAUUUGUUCUUUUUAAAUUUUAUAUACAUGUGACACUUUGUUUGGCGUGGUUAUAUGAAUAUUCUAAUGUUGGACGGAGAUGGAAUGCACUAUGGUGGUCUUUUGUUCCUUGAAUUUUUUAUGUAUGUGUUAUUUGAUUAGAUUAGAUAUUUUGUUAAUGUGCGUUGAUGCCUAGUCUUGCUUGAGGAAAGCCAAUUGAAUCAUUAUGUUGAGUUAAUAAGAAUGUGAAUGAAUUAAGGCCUAAUUUCCCUAAUUAGUUAAUUGAUCUAGAAAAGCUGAAUGUUUAUCUUAACCCAAUGUGCCGCAGAGCUUUGGAUAUAAAAGGAAACUGAAAAAAUAACUGGGUUUUAAGUGAUUAUCAUGCUCUUGUUUUAAUUUUAUUUUUUGCUUUGAUCGCUAGCGGCAUGUUUUGGCCGACGACACCUAGGUAGGCAAACUUUUAGGACGUUAUAUUUUAGUUAUUGAGGUGAAAGGUCGUCCCCUUUAGUCUAUACUCAGGGGAAUGCCCUCCCAGAUUUUGUGUAUAUUUUUAUCCGGGGUUACCUCGUAGUACUCUGUAAUUGGCAGCCAUUAUGAAUAUCAUGGAUGAAGCAUAAUAUUGGUUAGUGUAGGAUUGUUAAUAUUAUUCUUUUCUUUUCUUUUCUUUUCCUUUCUUUUUCUUUAAGUGGGGACGACCUUGAACCUCUUGUGUUUAUUUUAAUUUUUGUAUUUUUGCCUCAAUCUGAGCAUCCUAUAAAGCCAAUGUAAUCAUGCAUGCAACCGUACUAGUUACGAGACUCGGGGAGUGCCUAACACCUUCUCCCCGAGUCAAAUGAACCCCCUUACUCUGAAUUUCUGGUGCAGUCAGUCAUAGAGUCAAAUGUGUUUUGAAGGAAAAUUCUUAUUUUAUAAAAUGGUGACCUGUCACACCGAAACAAAAUGACAGGUGGCGACUAUGAAAAAUCGUUCGAAACACAAUCUUUUGUCACUUUUCAAAUUGAAAUCCUUUAAGCUUUAAAAUUACUUUAUUAUCCUUUUAAAGAAGGUUUAAGAGUAAAAAAAGGGAUGUGACACUAAACAAGCAUUAUGGAUGGUGAACAAAAAUCUUAAAAGCUAUGGAGUUCUUGGAGCAAGCAUGCAUUUCUUUUGAUGAGCUAAUGGAGAUACAAUAGUUCUCUAUCGGGGAGUUGUAUAUAAAGCUAAGAGGGGAGUUUCAGAAGGUUUCAUGGAAGAGACUAGUUUGUAAUAAUAUGGGAUGCCCAAAAUGGUUCUUUUUGCUUAGAUGGUGGUCCAUGAAAUGUUGUAUACCAGAGAUAGACUGGUAAAAUGGGGAGUGACGAGUAUAAUAUGUCCUUUAUGUGAUGUAGAAGCUGAAUCUGUAAUCCACUUGUUCUUCAAGUGCUCAUUUGCUGCUUCAAUAUGGAAUCAAUUGCUAAGAUGGCAAGGUAUGGAUAGACAAGCAAUGGGAUGGGUGGAUGAUCAAACAUGGGCUGCAGUUCAUGAAUGGUAAAAAUGCCAAGGCAGAGAGCUAUAGAAUGAGUUUGGUAGGAUGGGCAUACUAUGUCUGACAAGAAAGGAACCACCGGAUAUUUCAAGAU